AAACUCAAAUGAAUUGACGGGGCCCGCACAAACGGUGGAGCAUGUGGUUUAAUUCGAAGCAACGCGAAGAACCUUACCAGGUCUUGACAUCCCCUGACAACCGAGAGAUCGGGCGUUCCCCUUCGGGGGACAGGGUGACAGGUGGUGCAUGGUUGUCGUCAGCUCGUGUCGUGAGAUGUUGGGUUAAGUCCCCGCAACGAGCGCAACCCUCGACCUUAGUUGCCAGCAUUCAGUUGGGCACUCUAAGGUGACUGCCGGCUAAAAGUCGGAGGAAGGUGGGAAUGACGUCAAAUCAUCAUGCCCCUUAUGACCUGGGCUACACACGUGCUACAAUGGGCGGUACAAAGGGUCGCGAACCCGCGAGGGGGAGCCAAUCCCAAAAAGCCGCUCUCAGUUCGGAUCGAGGUCUGAAACCCGACCUCGUGAAGCUGGAAUCGCUAGUAAUCGUGAAUCAGAAAUGUCGCCGGUGAACUACGUUCUCGGGCCUU
RNAcentral lists this ribosomal RNA (488 nucleotides) under uncultured Anoxybacillus sp. RNAcentral's name for it is "bacterial SSU rRNA". It matches the Rfam family "Bacterial small subunit ribosomal RNA", at positions 897 to 1382 of the family's 1533-position model. The record is from RNAcentral. Lineage: Bacteria; Bacillati; Bacillota; Bacilli; Caryophanales; Anoxybacillaceae.